This is a non-coding RNA of Oryza nivara, 207 nucleotides long. Lineage: Eukaryota; Viridiplantae; Streptophyta; Magnoliopsida; Poales; Poaceae. The record is from Rfam.
AAUAUGUACAGUUUUGCACGGUUCAUGUCUAACAUUUGACCGUUCGUCUUAUUUGAAAAUUUUUUAUGAUUAAUAUUUUUAUUGUUAUUAGAUGAUAAAACAUGAAUAGUAUUUUAUGUGUGACUAAUUUUUUUUAAUUUUCUCAUAAAUUUUUCAAAUAGACGGACGGUCAAACGUUGGACACGAAUUUCCACGGCUACACUUAUU